UAUCUCUCCGUACGGGGAAGGAUGAGAAGCUUCGACUAAGGUUCGAUUCGAGCGCAGCGAGAAAGCGUUGCCGCAGGCAACGACCCGAAGGGUGAGGAGCGGAGCGACGAAUAAUCCUUCCC
Molecule: small RNA, 122 nt
Filed under: Salmonella enterica
Lineage: Bacteria; Pseudomonadati; Pseudomonadota; Gammaproteobacteria; Enterobacterales; Enterobacteriaceae
Description: partial RtT sRNA
Rfam family: RtT RNA
About the family: This family represents a bacterial cis-regulatory element known as RtT RNA. The exact function of RtT is unknown although it is thought that it may be involved in changing the cellular response in relation to amino acid starvation.
Source: RNAcentral